UGGUUUAUAGUGUUCUGUCAAUUUUCUACUGUAUGGCAAGGUGACCCAGUCAUGCAUACAUUCUCUUACAACUGGCUCCACUUUUAAAGCUCCACGUAUGAUGAACAAUGGCUUUUGGAAAAACUCAUGCUGGGUUCCAGCCAACACUGUAGUGGUGCAUAAAACUUGGCUGUCAAGAUGCCAGUUGUGCAAGGCUCUAAGUUUCCCAGGUGCCUGGAUUCUUCCAGUCAAUAGUUAUCAUUCCUACAAGACCAGUUGCUCCCUAGCCAGUAAGAAGAAGCAGGUCUCUUUCCAGGCAACUGCCCCCUUAAACGGUCUUGCCACAUUGCUUUGUAAAAUAUUCACCCUCCUUCCUGUUCUUGCCUCCAAACACUGGAGGAAAAAGAAGCAAGAAACCACCAAGUGAUGCCACCUUCUGAUUGAAAGCUUACCCAUCACCUCCUCAGAAACCCAUUAGGUCAGUUUUGGGGCAGCAAAUACGGUCUUUGGCACAGGUCCCUACAGCUGUCAAUGGAUAUUUAUCUUUAGUCAAAUCUUACCUUGUGGUUGCCUGAUGGGAGGGGGAGGGUGUGGGAGGGAUCGGGAGCUUGGGCUUAUCAGACACAACUUAGAAUAGAUUUACAAGGAGAUCCUGCUGAAUAGCAUUGAGAACUAUGUCUAGAUACUCAUGUUGCAACAGAAGAAAGGGUGGGGGAAAAACUGUAAUUGUAAUGUAUACAUGUAAGGAUAACCUGACCCCCUUGCUGUACAGUGGGAAAAAAAAAAAAAAAUCUUACCUAUGGAGGUUGCUGAGCAAGUAUCUGCUCUAGUAAUUCAAAAGAGUGUCUUUGAGGGGCUUCUUGAAAUUUGGCUUGGUUUAGGUUUGGAAUGGAAAAUGCUGUAAAUUUCCAUUUGGGGUGAUGCAAUCAGGAAAUUCAGUGCUCUCUGCACUGGCUCCACAGGGUAGGUCUGGGUGGGGGAGGAAACAAGGCCAGUUCUCCUGAGGGGAGGCCACCAGGAUUUGGAGAUACUGCAUAGAUCCUGGCAGGGGGACAAGGUCACUCUGAGAGUGACAAGAGUUUCCAGCAGGGAAGGGAGGAAAACUGGACAGCUCGGCCCCAAGCUGCACCUGAGGAUCAAUAUUCAGAGUGUUUAUGCAGAGAUAGGCUAGUGAAAAGCUGAGGGUUGAAGCCAGAUUCUACCCAACACUCAGUAAAUUCCAGCUCUGCCCUACCAACCCUAUGGCCCUGGAGGAAUUAUUUAAUCCCUCAAAGGGUCUGGUUUAUCAUCUGUAAAAGAAAGAAAAAAACCACUUCCUUCCUAAGGUUAUUCAUGAGGAAUACAUGUGCAGCAUCUAUACAGUCCCUGACUCCCAGUGGGUUUUUGGUUAAGCAGCGUCUAGUUCUCUACCACUCAGACUGUCUCAGCAGAACUCUGGCUUUGACUUGGUUCAAAGAGACCACAAAAGUAGGUUACCAGCAAAUUCUAGCUUAAUCACUAACCUGGAGUAAGAUGCUUAAAUUUCUCUCCUGAAGUUGGAGGGCCAAAACUACUAGGUUGUGGAGAGGUUUCAAAGAAGAAUUCACAAAAAAGGAAAGUGAUGCAACCUGGGAGAAUCUUCCCUAGCUGGGCUCCAUUUCUCUGUGUCCACCAUAGAAAGGUGAUGAUGACUUGGGAGCAGGGUCAUUAGUGUGUCACCCAUUGGUCCCAACAGGGUGUGGGGAAUAUAAUGAGCCAGGACCACUGACAUUCAUCCUCCUUCUCAGUGCAAAAUCCCAAUUUUUAUAUAUUAUCCACCUCCAUACAACAUGUGUGUGGCCCCAAUCCUCACAUCAGGGGGAAACCUAAUUAGCAUAAGCAUAAGUUAGCAGAUGAAUAGAUCCAGGACAUAAGCCAGUCCACUAGAGAGUCUCAGGACUAUUGCUUGGAAGCAUGGAUAAAGGUGCCUUCUCUUCUCUGUACACGUAAGGCCCAGAUAUGAAGACCAAACUGCUACAGCCAGUCUCACUGGGAUAAAGGAAGAAAAUGCAAUCAUAAAGCCCAUGGUAGUGGGGGGGGGGGGGGGGGGGGGGGGGCAGAGCUGAUUCACAACAUUGUGAAUUCACAACACUGUGUUAGCUUCUUGAUCAAACCUCACCUGAAGUCAGACCUCUUCGGAUCAAACUUCACCUGGAGUCAGACCUCUUUGGAUUUUCUGACUGUUUAUCACAUCUACCCCAGUCGAUAAACAGUCAUUAUUUAAGCCAGUUCACACUAGGGUGUCUAUUGCUCACACACAUGCUUCUACCUCCAAGGAUCCCCAGAACCUCCAGCAAUGCCAACAAGAACUCCACCCUUUCCUCAAAUGGACCAGAUUUCCUGACAACACAUGCAAUUUCCUAGUACACAGAACAGACCCUGGCUUGCUGCCCUCAGGCUGUGCAGCAAAAAGACAAAGGGAUAAAGCUUAACUCUGGCAGCUUCCCCCCUUCCUCGCUGAGCCCAUCUCUUGCUCUCCAACGCUCCUCUGGGUCCUGACAUUCCUUUUGGAAUGAUUUGCCAUCAAUCAAGUCUGACCAAAUUCAAGUUCCAAAAACAAGAUCUGAUAGUAAUUCUGAAACUCUCAUAAUUCUACCUUUUGUGCAAAAAAGUCAAUGUGUGAGUGUGUGUAAGUGCAAAUGGGUACACACAAGUGUAUAUGUACGAAUGAGUCUAUAAUGUGUAUGUGCCUGGGAGUGUGUGAAUGUUUACAGUGUACAUACAGGCCGUUUCUGGAUGAGCACUCCACCUAGGGGUGGACUGUCAGACUGAUAGCCCCUGAUGAUACAGGAAGUAGGUGUGACUCAGGCCUGGCCAGGAGAUCAAGGGAAAUAGAAUGACAAUACCCAGAAGGUACAGCUUUCUCUUUUAACAAGCAUAAUAAGAGAAAGGUUGUGGAACAAACAGAAAAGCGAAGAAAGCUUUUUAUUGGAAUAAAAAACUCUGUACAAGCCUAAUGUUUGCAAAUCUGUACGUGGCCCAUGGAACAGGGGCUACAAACCCUAGCGGGUCAGUCAGGUCAAAUCUACAAGUCCUGCGGGCAGUGUUCUCCUGUGACAAACUGGACAUUGCAUGCCUGGUCAUAGGGGGAUGUUGCCAUUUAGCUCAGCUGGUUGACAACGGAUUACAGUGGCCCAGAGAUGCCAGGACUCCAGUUUUGAAACAAAGCACACCAUAAUAAGUUAUCCAGAUUUAUAUGUGAACCAUUCCAGUUUUCCAUCUGGUGGUGAUUAAUUCCCAUGAUAUUUAAACUAAGUCUCCAGUGUACGACUUACAUUUUGAACCUCAGUUACUUCUUUAGAUUCAAGAAAGUUUAACUUAGGACUCCUUUAAAUUCUCAUUGCUCUGAGAGUACUUAACAACAAUGAGUCAACUCACAAAAAGUACAAUUGGCCCCCCCACCAGAGUCUGAAGUAAGGGAAACCUGGAUGAUUAUAAUUAUGUCUGAGCAGAAUCAUUCAAUAGGUAGAAGGGGAGGAGUUGACAACACUGGGUUUCUGAAUUCUAUUUUUCAGCCCACAGGAUAUGAAUCACACAGGCCCUAAACCCUCAGCAGGGUACAUCUCUUUGUCAGAAGCAUGAGGCAUUAGAAAUGUCCUGUCUCAAUUUCACAAAAACAUUUGCCUACUGAAUAAAGUCUUUAGUUCCAAAGCUGACUUUCCACUCUUCUCUAGGGGAGCUCUGAAGAAGCUUAUCACCUAAAGUACACAGUGAAUAAUUUGCAAUACCCCAGAAAACCAUCUAGGGACCUGGUGGUAAUGUAAUUCACAUUACAGAUAGUGACACACUAGCCUCAAAUCCUAGUUGCACCAGAUACUUCUUCAAGUGGAAGAUUUCCAAGGGUCAUGCUUCUGAAUAAUUAUCUAUAUCAAAUCCCAACACACCUCUGAAUGAAUGAUUUCUAAAUUUGACUAUUUGUAAGCUGUGUUGCUGAAGCAAGCGGCUGAGUGUUUCAGAAAAACAUAGCAAGAAUAGUCCCCACCUGCUGAGCCAGCUAGGAAUCUCAUUUCUCUAGAUAACAACAACCAUGGCUAACAUUUACUGAGCACUUACUAUGUUCCAAGCACUACAUUAAGCACUUUUCAUUCAUCCACUUAUUUAAUGUUUUCUACUACCCUAUGAUGGGGAGCUAUCAUUAUCCUAUUUUUCAGAUAAGGCAAAGGAGGGUUAAGAAAAUUACACAAGGAGUCCUAGUUGUGGCACAGUAGAAAUAAAUUUGACUAGUAUCCAUGAGGAUGAACUCCCUUUACUUAUAUUCUUCACAGCUGGCCCAGUGCCUGGUAUAUGCUGGGCACAAGAGUCAUGUCUGUUGAGUGACUGGAUGGAUUAAAGACACCCAACUAGACUAACAUAUGAAACCAGUCAAUAAUAUCAAUAAAAGCAACAGCUAACAUAUAUUGAGUACUAAUGAGCUAAUAAGUACAAAUACGUAAUUUCAUUUAACUUUCCAAUUACUCUAUAAUAGAGACAUACUCAUUAUCUCCAUUUUACCAUUAAGGAAACUGGGGCACAGGGAAGGAACCUACUCAAGGUCACUCUGCAAGCAAAGCCUUGACUUAGCCAGGUGUUGCCUGGUCUUGACCUGAUGGGCUCUGCUGUUAAACUCACUUCUCUUAACCUAACACUGUAUCUCCCCUCACCUACUGUCCUACCUGAAGGCAGUUAGCAUCCCACUAGUUCUCUUCAAAUACUUUCCUACCAUACUUACCCUCUCACAAGUGCACCUGUGCAUGGUCACAAAUCAUCAUAACCCUAAUUAUUAGCCAAGCUUCCACAAGUCAUCAAAUCCAAGAGCGGCUUUAAGACAGAGACAAAUAUGCAAGAUGCAUGAAAUACCAACAUUUCCCCUCUUCGUUUUCACUAGCUUUAGAAUUUGACUUGAUUGCUUCAUUAAUCCCAAAGGCACGUGAUAAAUCUACCAUGUGCCCCUAAGAGAUGCAGCAUUU
Molecule: long non-coding RNA, 4943 nt
Filed under: Sus scrofa (pig)
Lineage: Eukaryota; Metazoa; Chordata; Mammalia; Artiodactyla; Suidae
Description: lncRNA (ENSSSCG00065050372.1)
Source: RNAcentral